Aphis gossypii (cotton aphid) is the source of this 595-nucleotide long non-coding RNA. RefSeq lists it as uncharacterized. The record is from RefSeq and is a predicted model, not a curated record. NCBI's taxonomy places the organism in Eukaryota, Metazoa, Arthropoda, Insecta, Hemiptera, Aphididae. The transcript has 3 exons.
UUUAAAAAAGUUAGUUACCUAUUAUUUAAAUGCAUUCCUUAAUUUCCACGGAUAAAAUUAAAUGUUUAUAAGCUGUAUUUGUCAUGAUAUUUUAAGACUGAGAAUGGAUAAUGCUGAAAUACCAUUAUUGGUAUAAUAUUUAUUAACAAUCCAUCAAUGUAAGCUCGUUACAGAUACAGUAGGUACUUUGCUGGUUAAUCUAUGGCUAAUAAGUAAUAACCAAUUGCUGAUGGCUUACAGAACUAAUGGAAAAAGUCAGUACCUAUACACAUAAAGGACGAUAACAAACAAGAGUACCAUGGAGAGUUACAAUAAUUUUACGCGCACAGAUGAUGAUAAAAAAAUCCACACCCAAAUAUAUUAUUUACUGUCAGAUUUAAAGAUGAAAGUAACAUCAAAUGUUUAAAAUUUAUAUAAUAUAGCAAUUUAUUUAGUUUGAACAUAAUGAACGUGAUUGGCCAAGUACACAUUAAUAUUAUGAUUCAAACAGAUAAAUCAAGAAUAGACACCAGCCAUAAUUGAUCAUACACAUUAUAAAAUUACGCAAUUUUUACUAAUUUUUCAUUUUAAUUAAAAUUACAACAAACAAACCAUU